CCUACGGGAGGCAGCAGUGGGGAAUAUUGCGCAAUGGGCGAAAGCCUGACGCAGCGACGCCGCGUGAUGGAUGAAGGUCUUCGGAUCGUAAACCUCUGUCAGCAGGGAAGAACGGUCACUGUGCUAAUCAGCAGUGAAUUGACGGUACCUGCAAAGGAAGCACCGGCUAACUCCGUGCCAGUAGCCGCGGUAAUACGGAGGGUGCGAGCGUUAAUCGGAAUUACUGGGCGUAAAGCGCUCGUAGGCGGUAUGUCAAGUCAAGGGGGAAAUCCCCGCGCUCAACGUGGGAACUGCCUUUGAAACUGGCAAACUGGAGUGUGUGAGAGGAUAGUGGAAUUCCAGGUGUAGGAGUGAAAUCCGUAGAUAUCUGGAGGAACAUCAGUGGCGAAGGCGACUAUCUGGCACAUAACUGACGCUGAGGAGCGAAAGCGUGGGUAGCAAACAGGAUUAGAUACCCGAGUAGUC
RNAcentral lists this ribosomal RNA (465 nucleotides) under uncultured bacterium. Its description in RNAcentral is "partial 16S ribosomal RNA". It matches the Rfam family "Bacterial small subunit ribosomal RNA", at positions 338 to 795 of the family's 1533-position model. The record is from RNAcentral.